AUAUCAAUAAGCGGAGGAAAAGAAACUAACCAGGAUUCCCCUAGUAACUGCGAGUGAACCGGGACUAGCCCAACUUGAAAAUCCUUUCGAGGAAUUGUAGUCUAUAGAAGCGUCCUCAGCGAUGGCUCGAUCCCAAAUCCGAUGGAAAUCGGUGUCAGAGAGGGUGAAAACCCCGUCGGAUCGAUGUCCGUCCCUCCACGAGGUGCUUUCCACGAGUCGGGUUGCUUGGGAAUGCAGCCCAAAAUGGGAGGUAAAUCCCUUCCAAGGCUAGAUACUGGCGAGAGACCGAUAGCGCACAAGUA
This 302-nucleotide ribosomal RNA is filed under the name uncultured Chlorococcum. Its description in RNAcentral is "partial large subunit ribosomal RNA". It matches the Rfam family "Eukaryotic large subunit ribosomal RNA", at positions 40 to 350 of the family's 3401-position model. The record is from RNAcentral. Lineage: Eukaryota; Viridiplantae; Chlorophyta; Chlorophyceae; Chlamydomonadales; Chlorococcaceae.